AUUGCUGAUUUCUGUAAACUUGGGGUUUUAUGGGUUUCAGUUUGUUUUCUGUUGUUUACAGGGCUUUUUUUGUUUUGGUUUGGGUUUUUUUUGAUCAUGGAUUUUGGUGUUGUAGGUCAGAGAGCUGAUGCUGAGGAUGACAGCUUCUAAGGUGUUUCAAAGUGAGAACCCCAGUUGCUGCUCCUGCUGCACCAGGGAGAGAAGCCUGGUGUGAGUAUGAGUGAAGGAGCAGUGAAUCCAGGAGACUUCGCUUGUGUGGUGAAGAUGGACAGCUACUGCAUCACAGAAAGCAGCAUGUGUAACAGCAAUGAGAGUCAGAAUCAGUCUUGCCCUUCUCACUCCUCCAACUCCCUCUGCAGAUCACUCAUAUGAGAGCUGUAAUAUCAGAGCUGCUUCUGAGCAUUGCUGAAGAUAUGGAACACUGAAAUCUUUUUUUUUGUCAAGCCUCCAAGAGCAAAUAGCAGCAGAGUUAUUGCAGAUACCUGCCUGGCAUCCAUUUGCCACCAUGGUGAAGUGUCAGUCUGCUUUAGGUCCUGCGUCAUCUCUGCUAUUCCUGUGCAGCUAUCCUGGGUGAUUUACAGCCUUCUCAAAUGGCACUGGGCACCUGUGCAUGGGACAGGAAUCCUGGCCUUUGCUUUGUGAAUCAGCACACUCCUGGAGGGCCACAACAGUGUGGUCAUGGCCACAGCCAAGCAUGGCAGCAGUGAGCAAGUUGCACAAAUCUUUGAAAAGGAUGAUUGAAGUGUUUUGGUUUGGUUUGGUUGGAAGACUGUACUAGCUUGCCAGGGGGAAUUCAGAGGAAACCAGACUAUUUUCCCAAAGAGAAGAGAAAUGAAUUCCUCAUGGAAGGUGCCCUGUGGACAACUCCUUUUUAUCUUUACAAGUCCUGGAGAAACAGCAGUGGAUUCCCUUGCCUUACUUCCCCCCCUAGGCUACUCCCCUGCACGUGUCUCUCACAUAAGGAGCUCUGUUUGCUCUCCUUCUUUUCUGUGGAGGAGAUAUCCAAGGAAAUGGCAUUCAGAAGGAAGUUAAAAAAGGAGGAGAACAAAGGAGCACAGUUGUCGUUGUUGCAGUGAAACUUCAGUAUAGAGACACCCCAGGAUGAUUUUCUUAAAUUUUGAGUUCUGGGCAUAUGCUGAAUUAUACAUCUACCUCUACAGGUUUGUGAUUUUCAUUUUCCAUUCUUCUUUCACUAGCAAAGUAACUUGGGUUUGAAUGGAGGCAGUAUGUCAGAUUUAAAUAAUAUACAGGAAGGAUGAAAUUCUAGCAGUUUUUUCAGGGAACAUGACAACUCUGGGAUAACUGUUUUAUCUCUAGGAAGUCUUCAAACAUCACAAGGUAAAAUUCUUGGCAUCUCUAAGGAGUUUUGAAUGGCCCACAUGACAUGAGUUGCUGUCGGUUCUCUAGUUGUCAGAGCCCUCACAGCUCAAAAACUUCACCUGUGGUCUUCCCCCACCGCUGUCCACAGGCUCUGGAGCUUCCUCAGUCCCUGCCUGAGCAAGACUGUGGUCAUGGGCCCCACUGAGCCUGAGCCUGACCCGUGGGCUGAUGGCCUUGACCCCUCACUUGUUUACCGCAAACCUGUUCAAAGAUCGUGAUCCCAGCUGCACUCACUGGGUGUGAUCCUGGCCUGCAGAUAGACUUCCAGCUCCACCUUGGAUUUACCUCAUCGCCACACACUUGUCCAGUUGUCUGAACUCUUGGUUGGAUAUCAGCUGCUGUCUAUAGUCCUGCCCUGCUGGCAGUCCUGUCCUCACUGGGACAGCCAGGACUCUGCCCUGGUGACACUGCCCUUGGCUCCCUGUUCUCUGGGAGAGCAGCUGCCCUUGCUGCUUCCUGACACUAAUGCAGAAGCUCUUAUCUUAUCAAAACACUAUUGCAGACCAAAACCAGAUGCCAGUCUUUACCCCGCAGUAGCCAUAAGGUGAUUUCCAGUGUUGGUGAGUUUCUGGGGGAACAGGGGAGUAUUGCUAAGCCCAUCCAAUGAAGUGAGCUCCUGUUAACAGUGCACUUGUUUUGUGAGCAGAGGAUUUCUCUCAAUUAUUAUCCUAGAAUAGCCACAGAGCUUUAACAUAAAAAUCCCAUUUUCUUUUAAUGCAUCUUUGAAAAAUACUCCAAGAAAUGAGGAUUUUAGCCUGAGCAGUUCUGUUAUGAGCUAAAAAUCACAUGGCUGAGUUGGGACUUGGCCUUUAGGCCCAUUUCACUACAAAGUCUAGCUGCAACCUAGAAUAGACUGGAAGAGUCUUUUUUUCUCUUGAACUCAUAGAAGUACUGCAAACCCAAGACAAGCAGACUAUACAAUCUACACAAUCUACAGACUAUACAAUCAAUACAUCAGUUGUUCCUCAUAAGAGAAUGCAACUAUUAGAGUUUAGAGUUAGUAUGAACAUCUUUCUGAUUGAAAGGAUUUUUAAUAUAUUUAUUUCUUAACUGACCUUGGUUUUGCUAACCAAAACAA
Long non-coding RNA from Prinia subflava (tawny-flanked prinia), 2458 nucleotides. RefSeq lists it as uncharacterized. The record is from RefSeq and is a predicted model, not a curated record. Lineage: Eukaryota; Metazoa; Chordata; Aves; Passeriformes; Cisticolidae. The transcript has 7 exons.